UAGAAAAGAUACAGCAAAAAUCAACGAGUGAUUUUAAGUUUAAAAUGAAAGUGUAAUUCGCAGAAAAACGAAAUAGUGACUAAAGUAGAAAAAAGACAGCAAUUCGCCGUAUAGCAAAAUGCUAAUAAUGAUACAACAGUGACAGUAGAAACCAACAAGGGAAUUUGAAGUUGAAGAAUAAUUCGCCGCAUAGUAUUAUACUAAACAGAAUAGAAAAGAGACAAUAAAAAUCAACAAGUGAAUUUAAAGUGCCCUGGAGACGAUCAAAUAAUUGCGUCAAACAUUGCAUAUGUGUUAGUGAUGUGCACGUUGAUGUUUGUGUUAAUUUAAAACAAAAUACAGUGAUGCGAGAAGCAAUACCAGCUAACAUGCGUUUGUCAGCAACAUUGAGAUAUUUGGCGACUGGAGAUAAAUUUGAAAAUCUUAAAUUUAUAACUACAAUUUCUCGUAGAUCCCUUGGAUUGAUUAUUAUUGAAACUUGUUAGUUAAUUAUUUCGUCGCUUUCAGCAUUCAUAAAGGGUUGUUAUGGAAUUAAAAAUAACUCCAUAGGUCCCGCAAUCACCAUACAUUAAUCCUAUUCAAAAUAUCUGGAACUUUUUGGAAAAUCGUAUUCGAAAACAUCGAAUUUCAUCAAAAUAAGGCCAAAAAGCUGGAUCAUGGACUUAGUGGGUCAAAAUAUCCGGAUUUAAUACUAGAAAUGGAAUGGGGAGCAUACAUCGAUGUCUAGGGACUUGCUAUUAUAGGCCAAAAACCGCUAAAACUAUUGGUUAGAUUCUCACAAAAUAUUUGUGAAACCACUGUCACUGACCAGGGUCAGUAGCAAUCACGAUCUGAAGAAACGCAAUUGCAGCCGCAAGGGCAUGCGCAGGAGUUGGAAGUGCCAUCACCGUUAUGGCCCUUGUCGCCAGUAAGCCCAAUAACAAUAUCGCUGCCGUCGCCUCCUUUCCCCGUGGCGCAAAGCGUACAUCUCCGGCUCCUUCCACAUAAACCUCGCUUUCCUCACCAUCCUGCUCUACGCAGGUGGCUACCAAAAAGGACAGAAAGCGAAGGUCAUCUGUGUCAACUACUAGCGAGGUUGACCAGAAAAUGAUUGAAGCCAUCGAACUUUUUAAGAAUAAAUGGUCAUCAACCCAACUAACUCAGCAAAGCCAGCAACAACAACCCGCAAACCGGGCUGUGCACUCGUUCAGCACUUUAAUCGUUUCCUUUGGACGAGGAAAAGCAAGCUAGGGCAAUAGAGAAAAUGUUACAAGCUGCGUUUGAAGUACAGAGAGGAGCGUAAUAUUAAAUAAAAUGUUAAAUUAAUUUAUUGUAUAAGAUUUAAUAUAUAGGGUUAUGAAGUAUUCAUUUUUAAAUUAUUAUUUUAGUUUCAUUAAA
Long non-coding RNA from Bactrocera neohumeralis, 1377 nucleotides. RefSeq lists it as uncharacterized. The transcript is spliced from 3 exons. NCBI's taxonomy places the organism in Eukaryota, Metazoa, Arthropoda, Insecta, Diptera, Tephritidae. The record is from RefSeq and is a predicted model, not a curated record.